RNAcentral lists this ribosomal RNA (331 nucleotides) under uncultured eukaryote. RNAcentral describes it as "partial 18S ribosomal RNA". It matches the Rfam family "Eukaryotic small subunit ribosomal RNA", at positions 1469 to 1796 of the family's 1831-position model. The record is from RNAcentral.
ACCCUUAGAUGUCCGGGGCUGCACGCGCGCUACACUGUAGAAAGCAGCGUGCUUUAAAACCUUUCCUGAAAAGGAUGGGUAACCCCAGCAAAAUUCUGCGUGCUUGGGAUAGAGAUUUGCAAUUUUCUCUCUUGAACGAGGAAUUCCCAGUAAGUGCGAGUCAUCAGCUCGCGUUGAUUACGUCCCUGCCCUUUGUACACACCGCCCGUCGCUACUACCGAUUGGGAAAAUUUUAGAGAGUCCUGGACUGAUGAUUGUUCGGCUUCACGGCCUUACUUUCGUCGGGAAAGAAUUCGAUAAUAUUUUUCUAGAGGAAGUAAAAGUCGUAACA